This 746-nucleotide ribosomal RNA is filed under the name Holepyris sp. RNAcentral's name for it is "partial large subunit ribosomal RNA". The stretch from base 330 to 746 matches the Rfam family "Eukaryotic large subunit ribosomal RNA", at positions 1 to 910 of the family's 3401-position model. The record is from RNAcentral. Lineage: Eukaryota; Metazoa; Arthropoda; Insecta; Hymenoptera; Bethylidae.
GUUCGAAUGGGGAGAUUCAUCGUCAACGAGGCUGGCUUCGCGAUGGCUCGUGAUGUCCCCGGUGCUUAACCGCACCGCGGGGCACGCGGUCGUCACGUUGCGUCCGGUCGCGUCGGCGUGCACUUCUCCCCUAGUAGAACGUCGCGACCCGUUGGGUGCCGGUCUUUCGGCCUGGGUGGACGACUGUCGCAUCGCCCGAGGCGCGUGCGACAGACCCCCGUGUGCCUUGAGUUAUCCGGCUGCCCGGCGGUACGCUCAUGGUAUCGGGCCGCAAUUAUCGAACUGCGUCGGGCCCAUCUCGCCCGCCUCCUCGGAUCUCGGUGGUACCGUCCCAACGGUGCGUCUCCGAAUAUCCGGCUGGCGCUUAAUAGGCGAGUGGUGACCUCCGACUGGCCCUGUGAAACACUUAAACGAUACCGGUCGGCGACGCUACUGCUUUGGGUAAUCUCAGGACCCGUCUUGAAACACGGACCAAGGAGUCUAACAUGUGCGCGAGUCAUUGAGACAGCAGGCUUAAAGGCGAAAUGAAAGUGAAGGUCGGCCCUAGCGCCGACCGAGGGAGGAUGGGCCUCGUUACGAUGAGGCUCCGCACUCCCGGGGCGUCUCGUUCUCAUUCGAGAAGAGGCGCACCCAGAGCGUACACGUUGGGACCCGAAAGAUGGUGAACUAUGCCUGGUCAGGACGAAGUCAGGGGAAACCCUGAUGGAGGUCCGUAGCGAUUCUGACGUGCAAAUCGAUCGUCGGAA